GGCCUCGUAGCUCAGCUGGUAGAGCAUGCGGGCGGUGUCCAUGCGUGGGUUCGAAUCCCACCGAGGCUA
This 69-nucleotide transfer RNA is filed under the name Echinostoma caproni. It matches the Rfam family "tRNA". From Rfam's summary of the family: Transfer RNA (tRNA) molecules are approximately 80 nucleotides in length. Their secondary structure includes four short double-helical elements and three loops (D, anti-codon, and T loops). The record is from Rfam by way of RNAcentral. Lineage: Eukaryota; Metazoa; Platyhelminthes; Trematoda; Plagiorchiida; Echinostomatidae.